Mesocricetus auratus (golden hamster) is the source of this 536-nucleotide long non-coding RNA. RefSeq lists it as uncharacterized. The record is from RefSeq and is a predicted model, not a curated record. NCBI's taxonomy places the organism in Eukaryota, Metazoa, Chordata, Mammalia, Rodentia, Cricetidae. The transcript has 2 exons.
CAGCACCGAGAUGGAGCAGCAAGGCCUCUUAAGGGGCCGGCUCAGCUCCAUCUGUCCCAGCUCCCUGUUGCUAUCAGUGUCUGGAGGAGCGAUCUUACCCAAGUAACAUCUCACACUUCUCCAAAGAACGCCUCAUCCACACCAGGCUGGACUGUUCUGCUCUCUCUCGACCCUGAACCACACCAACGUUGCACAAAUCUGUCUCAAGUCACCUGUUAGUUGUUGACCAUGCUAUUUGCCUCUGUCAAGAGAAAAGGAUGGUCCCAGGACACAGGAAGAGAACAUCAUGCCUCAGUCCCUCUGAAACAAAACAGAAAUUUCCUGGAUUUUUAUCAUUUUGUUCUCUUCUCUUCAAUGCUGGGGACAGAAAAAAAAAAGGAUCACACAGGCUCAGCAGGUGCUCUAUAACUGAGUUCUACCUCAACCAUCCUGUUCACGGUUGAUAAUGAGUCUGUGUGGCUUCCUUGUCAGGCUCUGGGUCCCACUUGCCUCCUGGGACCAUGCCCUUUCAGAUAAUAAAAUCCAAGUACAACUGA